RNAcentral lists this ribosomal RNA (433 nucleotides) under uncultured bacterium. RNAcentral's name for it is "partial 16S ribosomal RNA". It matches the Rfam family "Bacterial small subunit ribosomal RNA", at positions 29 to 507 of the family's 1533-position model. The record is from RNAcentral.
AACGAACGCUGGCGGCAUGCCUAACACAUGCAAGUCGAACGAGACCUUCGGGUCUAGUGGCGCACGGGUGCGUAACGCGUGGGAACCUGCCCUUAGGUUCGGAAUAACUCCCCGAAAGGGGUGCUAAUACCGGAUAAUGUCUUCGGACCAAAGAUUUAUCGCCUUUGGAUGGGCCCGCGUUUGAUUAGCUAGUUGGUAGGGUAAAAGCCUACCAAGGCGACGAUCCAUAGCUGGUCUGAGAGGAUGGUCAGCCACACUGGGAAUGAGGCACGGCCCAGACUCCUACGGGAGGCAGCAGUGGGGAAUAUUGGACAAUGGGCGAAAGCCUGAUCCAGCAAUGCCGCGUGAGUGAUGAAGGCCUUAGGGUUGUAAAGCUCUUUUACCCGGGAUGAUAAUGACAGUACCGGGAGAAUAAGCUCCGGCUAACUCCGUG